RNAcentral lists this unclassified non-coding RNA (447 nucleotides) under Hevea brasiliensis (rubber tree). The record is from RNAcentral. Lineage: Eukaryota; Viridiplantae; Streptophyta; Magnoliopsida; Malpighiales; Euphorbiaceae.
GAUGUAUAACCGGAUCAGCGAUUUAAGAAAGGAGAUUCAGUCACUCGAGAAGAAUGUUGCCUUAGCUGAAGAAGGUGUCCGAAGAACUAAUAGUGAGUAUGAGGCUGCUGAAGCAAAGCUUGAAGCGAUGGACGGCGAACUAGUACAAGCCGAAGGACCGGGUAGAAUGAAGCGUCUCAAAGCAUAUGCUGGUAGGGCUAAAGGCGACGCAAUAUCUGUACUUGAAUCUCUGGAAGCCAAGGAGGUGCUCCUUGCUCGUGCUCUUGAGGAAAAUAAGGCCUUGUUCAUAUCAUUGUACAAGAACUUUGGCAAUGUUCUUAUGAAACGCCUACCAACUGUGUCUUCUGAUGGUAAAUUGCGGAACUUACGACCCAGCCGUGUGGACAGCAUGGCUAUCGACCUUGAAGAACCUCCUACAAUGGUGGUUGACGAGCAAACCGUUAACAG